RNAcentral lists this ribosomal RNA (408 nucleotides) under bacterium enrichment culture clone ALO1_GLFRUDD03FOFF2. RNAcentral's name for it is "bacterial SSU rRNA". It matches the Rfam family "Bacterial small subunit ribosomal RNA", at positions 9 to 419 of the family's 1533-position model. The record is from RNAcentral.
GAGUUUGAUCAUGGCUCAGAUUGAACGCUGGCGGCAAGCCUUACACAUGCAAGUCGAACGGCAGCACGGGAGCUUGCUCCUGGUGGCGAGUGGCGAACGGGUGAGUAAUGCAUCGGAACGUAUCCUGGAGUGGGGGAUAACGUAGCGAAAGUUACGCUAAUACCGCAUAUUCUGUGAGCAGGAAAGCGGGGGACCUUCGGGCCUCGCGCUCUUGGAGCGGCCGAUGUCGGAUUAGCUAGUUGGUGAGGUAAAGGCUCACCAAGGCGACGAUCCGUAGCAGGUCUGAGAGGAUGAUCUGCCACACUGGAACUGAGACACGGUCCAGACUCCUACGGGAGGCAGCAGUGGGAAUUUGGACAAUGGGGGCAACCCUGAUCCAGCCAUGCCGCGUGAGUGAAGAAGGCCUUC